UACGUAGGGGGCAAGCGUUGUCCGGAAUUAUUGGGCGUCAAGAGCGCGUAGGCGGUCCGGUAAGUCGGCUGUGAAAGUCAAGGGCUCAACCCUUGAAAGCCGGCCGAUACUGUCGGGCUAGAGUGCGGAAGAGGCGAGUGGAAUUCCUGGUGUAGCGGUGAAAUGCGCAGAUAUCAGGAGGAACACCGAUUGCGAAGGCAGCUCGCUGGGACGUUACUGACGCUGAGACGCGAAAGCGUGGGGAGCAAACAGG
This 253-nucleotide ribosomal RNA is filed under the name uncultured bacterium. RNAcentral describes it as "partial 16S ribosomal RNA". It matches the Rfam family "Bacterial small subunit ribosomal RNA", at positions 524 to 776 of the family's 1533-position model. The record is from RNAcentral.